Felis catus (domestic cat) is the source of this 6752-nucleotide long non-coding RNA. RefSeq lists it as uncharacterized. The record is from RefSeq and is a predicted model, not a curated record. The transcript has 3 exons. NCBI's taxonomy places the organism in Eukaryota, Metazoa, Chordata, Mammalia, Carnivora, Felidae.
GGGUGAAUCGGCUCCGCCCCGCGUGGGUUCAGCGCACAGAGCAGUGGACCCGGCGUCAGAGACGCGGUGGGAGUCCUGGCUGGGGUUCUCCCAGCCCCACCUGCCCCCGGAAGGGCCCCUGCCCCUGCCCCUGCAGGGAGUAGCUCAGGAGAGGCCUCCCCUCCCUCUCCAUGUUCACCCGGGCCCAGCCCCCCCAACCGGCCGCAGGGCUGGGAGCAGGGGUCACCAGCAGCAGGUGUGGUGCUCGUCACCUGCUAGUUCUCGGGCGUCUUCAGCUGGGCGGGCAGUGGGGCACAAGGGAGGCCUGUGUCCUUGAGGGGCGACGGCCCCGGCUGCUCUGGGAGUGAGCAACUUGCUUGUCUGGUCUCUGAGGCCGCGUUCCCUUGCCCGGGCCCCGCCAGACCCACCAUCACCAGGAAACGGGUCGACGUGGUGACACGGCGAGGCCUGCAGCCGGGCCUGGCGUGAGCGGACGCUCAGCCUCUGCCCCCCCCCCCCCGGCCCUGUGACAGUCCUAUCUGUCCUUCUGCCGUUCACGGAGGGCCGCCCACCCUUAGGGAGGGACAACUGGAAGUGAGUUGGAAUCCGAGGGAAGUGUUCCAAAGAGCGGGUGUGGACUGAACUGUCGCAGAAGCAGAGGGAUUCCAGCAGGGCUGUUGGUCGCUUGCUGACCAGUUCUCCGCCCCCGUGCCCCCUGCGAGCCAGACCAGGAACUUCUAGGAGGCAAAGCCUGUGUCUUGAACACCUGCGCUUCCUCGGCCCCAGGCCUUGAUCAGCAUACACAUCGGAGGAGGAGACAAAGGAGGCCCUCGUGGCUCUGCGUGGGGACUGUCCUCUACGGGAAUCCAGGGCAGGAGGGAGGAUACUGUCGGUCAAGGUCAGUCAGAAUGCCUGCGCCCUCCCGUCACACGGACACCAUCUCAGAGAACAUGACAGCGUGUCUCAGGGGCCCCUGCCAACCCGGUGGCCUGCCAGGUUCAGGAGGACAGACACUCUAACUAGGUCAGAGGCCCAGCUCGCCUGCCUCCUUCGGGGGAGCAAGCACCGUGCUCGCUGGAAAGAGCUCCUCUCACGUGAGAUUAUUUAUCCAUUUGGCUAAUUAGAUUUUAAUAAACUAUUUCACACUGCAGCUUGUGCUUUGCGAGAGGGAUUUAAACGGGCCCCGCCCGGAGGUCUUGCUGGCCCUGGAAGCUGACCAGGAGGCUGUGGCAGGGGAGGGGGCUGGGUGCUGGGGGCGGGGCCUCCCCCCCCCUCCCCGGCCGCCCCUCCUUUCCCCGCUCACCCCCAGGCCACCACUCAGUGUUCCGUCCAUCCUCACUCCUCUCCCGGCUCCCGCCAUGUGCCGCAGGCUCUGAGGGCCGUGGUGACAGGCCGCCCGACCCUGCCCGCUGGGGCUCGAGUCCAGCGCUGGAGGAACCACUGAUGGCAAGGCCACAGCCCCCACGGGGCCCCGGGACCCGGGCUGUCACAGCACUUCGCACAUAACGAACUCACUCGGUGCACUUGCCGUCCCAUGUCACAGGCCAGGAGACGGGGCGCAGAGGAUUUCAGCUCCGGGCCAGGGAUUUGAACCCCGAGUGGCUCCCGGUGGGGCUGUGUGGGUGCCUGUCUGUCGUAUUGCCUUGCGAGUCCACCACCGGGUCGGGGAGCUGGUGCUUGGCGUUCUCAGAGGAACCAGCAGGCAUUGGGUUUAGGCUGGGGAGGGGUCGGGGGCUCUCGGGACCAAGAGUUGGAGGUGAUCAGGAGUUGGAGGCUCAUGGAGUGGAGGCCGCAGCAGGUGCAAAGGCCCUGAGUCAGGAGGGGAAAGUGCAUGAAGGGCAGGCUGGGCUGAGAUGGGGGCGGGUGGCCUUCAGGAAGGGAAUUUGGGGAAACCGAGGGUUGGGCACUGGGAGUGGCGUCCCCAGUGCGGUUCACCUCCGCAGGAGGGCAGGGGUGACGUCUCACUCACCUCUCCUCCUCUGGGAAGCCCACCUGGGUCGCUCUCUCUGUUUUCAGACAUUUCGAGGGAGAGGGGCAGAUCCUUGCCGAGGUGGCAUUUGGUGGCCUCGGUCUCUCUCUCUAAUCCCCUUCCCUCUCUGGACAUUUCCCCAGCCGUCAGCGUGGUAUUUUGGACGGACUACGGGUCAGACGUCCCCGGUGCAAAUCCAGACCCUGCCCCUUUUGCUGUGCGGUUCUCAGCAGGGGACGCAGCAUCCCUGAGCCCAGAGCCCCUGCAGAGGCACGCGUUCCUGGGACCAGGCAGGAAGGGCGUGUAUACACGCGGAGCACGGCAAAUGCCCAGUAAUACGACCACCUCCUGCUCUCACUUCCCCCUUUACCCCCGCCCGGCACCUGCUCCUGGGCCCUUCUUCCCGGGGAGCGAAAAUCCGAGAAUAGCAGUAGCCCCCUCCCCGGGACCCCACUCCAGCUACGGACGCUCUGACUAGGGUCCAGACGCUGCCCGUGCCGAGUUUUGCUCGCUCGUGUUGCAGCGACGGCCCCCUUUGACCUCAGCUGCCCCCGCAGCGCCAGGCCCGCUCGUCUCUGUCUGGCCCAAGAGAGGACAAAAGCCUCGUGGGCACUGUACUCCCCACACAGCGGAAACGCCUUGACGUUGUCAGAAAGAACAUUUCAAUCAGAACUAAGAGCCAGUGAGAACAAACACGGAAGCAAGUGAGUUCAAGAACAAACACCAGUCAUGACUUCAGAGUCUGGGCUCUGCAUCCCAGGGAGUCGGCGAGAGCUUCAGGAAGCCCUUCCGGGGGCUCAUUUCAUUCGGUCCUCAAGACGAUCCGGACGACCCUGGAGAAAUGAACCAAGCGCAGAAAGGUUCAGACACUUGCUCAAGGUAACACAGCAUUAAAGCUCUGUGAAUGGAGAACCACGGCUUUGCUCCAAAUAAUAGUUCUGACCUCUCCACGUUUUUGUCUCGAGACCUCUCUCAGUCAGGAGCUCUGUGCACCCUGUGCGUCCCCAGGCCUCUCUCCAUGGCUCAGGCUCCACCUGGGGGGCUUAGCCAGGCUGGAAAGGUGGGCCGGGAGGGUUCUGGAACAACCUUGACCUUCAAGGCUUAGGUGCGUGCAGCGUCCUGCAUCGAUGGAGCCUUCACGGAGCCCCGGACGAGUACGGCAGCUCCCCCUCCCGUCUGCCACACCGGCCGGCCACACCAGCCACGUGCCAGGUCAGGGAGCCCAGGGGCCCUGGUGAUGGGUGGCCGCCCGGGGCUCUGCCCUGCUGGGGGUGGUGCUGAGCCCCGAUGGGGGGCCGGGGUGACUUUCUGGAAGGUGUGGCUCCCACAGGGGCUCUGAACGAUGGCCAGGGCCAGUCUGGGGACCAGGGCCUCGUAAGUGGGGGAGGCUGGGGGCAGCAAGGGGCAGGGCCUGUGUCACGUGCGGUCUGUGUUUGGUAGGACUUCCCUGGAGGGCACCGGACGCCUUGUGAGGGGCCCUUCCCACCCUCCUCCCUGCAUGCAGCCCUGCGGGUCGCUGUAGAGAGAGACGCCCCGCUCGGGGUCACUCGCAGGAGGUUUCACAGAUGGAACCAGCCCUGUGCAGAGCCUGGCCUGAUCCUUUCCGGAACAGUGAGAAGAAAAGCCAAGCACGGGAGCAAGGGCAGAGAACUCUGUAUUUCCUUGGUGCUUGUCCACGGGACCCAGAAGCUACCACGGUUAUGGAUACGAGAAGCCUGGGGCCUCGCAGGCAGGCCGGUAGGUCCCGGCUGCCUCCAGCCCGGGAGCUGUGCCCAAAACCCACGGGUCCGUCCAGGACAAGGUUCUGAGUCCCUGUGAGUAGUUGCAGGACGAAGGGCUCUUCCCAGCUCCGUCUAUGCUCGUGAACCUUUUAUCCCAGUCGCCACGCGUGACCGAGCCGUGAGUGACCCGAGGAUCAGAUCACAUGGCGGCUGAAACCCAGCCUCCCGCUUUCUUGUCUGGGACGACGGUGGCCUGAGGUUUGCACGGCAACGGCUUUGAGAGCUUCUCCCGGUCUGGCGGCCUCGUUCCAGCUCAGGACGCGUGUGCCCUGCUUGCAGGGGCUCUCCCGGCCCAGCGUGGGCCCGCCUACACCGGGAGGUGCCCAGAGGCCCGGGGACCAUCACCUCCUACCGCGACACGGUGGCGUCCGGACCCAGGCAGCCCUGGAACAGACAUGAGAUUCCGCCGCCCGGCGCCUGGCUCCCGGUGUAGCUUCGCUGAAGUCACCGGGCCCCUUCAGGCGGUGGCUCCUGGUCUAAGAAGUAACAAAAAGUCAUCACGGACGCCCGCGUUCAGUGCCUGUCACGGCCCACUGUCCCCACCUGUGCUCGCCGCGUGCUGACGUGUUGCACCUGCACGGUGAGAAAGGCGUCAUCGGGGCUUUCCAGGAACCGGGGCACAGAGAGGGGCUGCAGCUGGCUCCGGGCCGCACGGCCGGCAGACGUGGGACUUGCUCUCAGACGUGGACGGUCUGGUUUCCCAGUGCUCUGAAGAGAAGGGGAGGGUCAGACCCGUCCCAAGGCUUCCCUUAGCCACGGGCUCUGGGGCGCCUCACGUCCAAGCCUGUGCGCCGGCCUCAUUCACUCGCUCACCCCUCCGCGCAUUCGUUCGCGGAGUCAUGGCCACGACCGCGUCCUCAGGCGCCGUGACACCACGGCCCUGACGCAGGAAAUGAGCACCCCUGACAGGCGGCAGCUGUGGCCGGUGGUGGCCGCCCCCGCCCGGCCCAGACUCGGAGUGUGACCCAGACCUCCUUCACCUGGGUCCGAGGCCCCGACGCUGUGACAUUCGGCCGGGGUUGCUGGGCCUGCCCACUGACCGCCACGGCUGGGCGAGGGGGCGCCGUGCGUAUGCCAGCACUGGGGCCUCCCUGCGCCCUGCGGAUGGGGUCUGUCGCCCCACCAGGACCGGGACCUCCAAGUCCACAGAGCCUGGAGCUGCUGGGGUGAGGUGUGCGGGCCUGGGGGGCGCUGAACACGCACUGCCUGCUCGCACCCCUGGUUCCCAGGUGUCCUCCUGGGGCCCAGGCCAGGGGCUCUCAUUUGGUGCAAACACGGGGGCGGGGGCGGUACCCCAUCCUCUCAGAGAAGUGCCUCUGGGGAUCCGCCAGCUUGUGGCUUCUGGGUGGUCGGUGUGGGAUCGGCCCGAGGUCCCUGUGGUCCCGGGCCUGCUCCCCACCUCUUCUGCUGUACGACGGGCUUCCUGGACCGACGCGACGGUGUGAGGGGGCCAAGCCAGCGGACCAGACACCCAGGAGCCCUCAGUGCCACGGGCGGCGGUCUGGGAGGCCAGCCCAUACCCAGAAUCUCCUGUGAACCUCAGGCCCUUCCAGGACGGCAGGGACCCAGGGUGGCCACUUUGCCACCAAGUGGUCAUUUGGUCCCCUCAAGGACCGAGCCCUACGUGGCUGGCAGGUGCGGGGCGCAGCACGGAGGGGCGGGAGCUCGUGCUGUUGGGUCCACGGGCCGCCUCCUUCUCUGCCUCUGUGGACGCUUCAUCCAAGUGCUCACGGGUCGGCCCUGGGGGUGACGGUGACCCGGUCACUACCCGUGUCCCGCUGUGCACCGAGCGUCUCCAUCUUGGACCCACUGCAGGGCACUGAUGAGAGACUGCACGAACUUCAGGCCUCGUGUCCCCCGCUCACCUGCUCACGUGAACCCAGCCUCCCGCAUCCCUUCCGGUCUUGGUCAGUCAGAUUCCUGACCAACCAGCUGUAUGUACCAUUUCUCCCUGCUUGUGGUCUGGGUGCCUUCUACCCCAGGGCAACUCCACUAGCUCACCAGGGAGCGGGUGAACGGGUGCACCACCCAGGGUCAGCCUCCCGGGACGCCUUCCCUCCCCACGGUCUUCCGAGGUCACCCUGAGGAGGUUGGGGUGCAGCUUGUACCCACCCAGGAGCAAGGUUCGGACUCUUCCUCCUCCCUCAGCGGCUCCCCUGGGAUUCCCCGUGUGGCCUCACGCGUGAGCUGAAGGUGAUGGGCCCUGAGGUCUAGGCUACCUGCUUGCGAAGGCAGCACCUUCUUCGAGUCCCCAGUUAUGAUGGGUUUUGCGGGGCCCGCCUACCCCGUGACUCGGUGGGCCUGCCACGGACGCCCCCUCUGUCACCUGCGAGCGCACAGGGCGCGCCGUGUCGCGGGGCUCACGCUUCUGGCCGCCGACGCUGCAGCCUGGACCCGCCGUGUGCCCGCUCAAAGCCGGGGCCCUGAGGCAGUCCUCCGGCGGGACUUGGCCCAAGCCGCGACACCGCAGCGCGGGCCUGCCGGCUCUGAUUUCUGGCUUAAUUCCUUCGUGAUGCGCUGGACUCUUCUCUUCUUUUAAAUUUGUCGCCGUUUGUUUCACGGCCCAGACUGUGUCCGUCUUGGUGAACGCUCCAUGGGCGCCUGGACGGAACGUGCGUCCACAGUCGUCGGCGGAGAGCUCGGUCCGCGUGCGUUCGCCCUGGUGGGGGGACGGUGCUGCUCGGCCCCGAGCGUUGUCUGCUUCUCCCGCGAGCCACAGGGAGGGCGGGGCCGACGCCCCCACCUGAGUUGCGGGCUUGUCUUUCCAGCUGCGCCCGCUUCGCCCGCUGUGUUUUGUGCGUGUCGUUCGGGCGCAGCCGCGUUGGAAUCGGCCCCUGUGUCGUUCGUUCCCCUGUGUUCCUCUUUAUCUCUGCUGAUCGUCCUUGUUCUGACUCUACGUCCUGUGAUGCACACUUAGCUACCUCGGCUGUCUUCUGAUUGGUGGCUGCGUGGUGUCUUUCUCCAUGCUUUUCCUUGGGUCUAUAUUUUAAUAUUAAAACUUGGUCUCUUGUAGACAGAAUGUG